This 190-nucleotide microRNA precursor is filed under the name Oryza brachyantha (malo sina). Its description in RNAcentral is "MIR812 microRNA precursor family". It matches the Rfam family "MIR812 microRNA precursor family". Lineage: Eukaryota; Viridiplantae; Streptophyta; Magnoliopsida; Poales; Poaceae. The record is from Rfam by way of RNAcentral.
AAUAACUUUCGUUUUUAGUUUUUUCGUCAACGUUUUCAUCAUUCAUUUUAUUUGAUUUUUUUAUAAUUAAUAUUUUUAUUAUUACUAGAUGAUAAAAUAUAAAUAAUAAUUUAUAUGUGAUUAAUUUUUUUAAGCUUUUGUACAAAAUUUUCAAAUAAGACGAAUGUUCAAACGUUGGAUAUGAAAAAAC